Molecule: ribosomal RNA, 521 nt
Filed under: Escherichia coli
Lineage: Bacteria; Pseudomonadati; Pseudomonadota; Gammaproteobacteria; Enterobacterales; Enterobacteriaceae
Description: partial 23S ribosomal RNA
Rfam family: Bacterial large subunit ribosomal RNA
Source: RNAcentral
GACCCGAAACCCGGUGAUCUAGCCAUGGGCAGGUUGAAGGUUGGGUAACACUAACUGGAGGACCGAACCGACUAAUGUUGAAAAAUUAGCGGAUGACUUGUGGCUGGGGGUGAAAGGCCAAUCAAACCGGGAGAUAGCUGGUUCUCCCCGAAAGCUAUUUAGGUAGCGCCUCGUGAAUUCAUCUCCGGGGGUAGAGCACUGUUUCGGCAAGGGGGUCAUCCCGACUUACCAACCCGAUGCAAACUGCGAAUACCGGAGAAUGUUAUCACGGGAGACACACGGCGGGUGCUAACGUCCGUCGUGAAGAGGGAAACAACCCAGACCGCCAGCUAAGGUCCCAAAGUCAUGGUUAAGUGGGAAACGAUGUGGGAAGGCCCAGACAGCCAGGAUGUUGGCUUAGAAGCAGCCAUCAUUUAAAGAAAGCGUAAUAGCUCACUGGUCGAGUCGGCCUGCGCGGAAGAUGUAACGGGGCUAAACCAUGCACCGAAGCUGCGGCAGCGACGCUGAUGCGUUGUUGGGUA